This 281-nucleotide long non-coding RNA is filed under the name Prunus persica (peach). RNAcentral describes it as "long non-coding RNA (PPER_LNC005083)". Lineage: Eukaryota; Viridiplantae; Streptophyta; Magnoliopsida; Rosales; Rosaceae. The record is from RNAcentral.
AAUAAGUUGAUGGGUGAUUUAUAGUCGUCAAUGAGGUGAGUGGGAAGUUAAUACAUUCGUGGUGGGCAAUGAAGGGUUUAAGUGAGGGAUUAAUUGGAUUAACAUGUGUUGAUGGUGGAGAGUUGGUGGAAAAGAAAUAACGGUGAGGUAGGUGGGCGUUAAAUGGCUAUGAAUGACAUGAAAUAGGCUCUUUAGCUUCAACGGUUUUGUCUUCUCUUCUCCCUCUUUACUUCUCUUUACAAUCACAAUAAUCCCACAAUCAAUUCUUCAAUAAAAAUCCG